This is a long non-coding RNA of Thalassophryne amazonica, 451 nucleotides long. RefSeq lists it as uncharacterized. The transcript is spliced from 3 exons. The record is from RefSeq and is a predicted model, not a curated record. NCBI's taxonomy places the organism in Eukaryota, Metazoa, Chordata, Actinopteri, Batrachoidiformes, Batrachoididae.
CCUCUGAACGUCGGCGCCCACUGGAUUUUACUGACUGUCAACCAUUCAGAGAAGCAGCUGGUGCUUGUUGAUCCCCUCUCAAAUUAGGACAUUUAUGAGCCCAAGAUUCUGCAAAAUUGGAGGAAUUUUUUGAGAAGGACUGGCAGUGGCGAUACAGAGAUGUGGGCUGCCACAACACUGAGGCACAGGAAGCAGGAGGAUGGAUACAGCUGUGGAAUUUUAGUGUUAAUGGUAAACAUCUUCAGGAGGUUUCUUUUGACCAUUUUUGUACUAAGCUGUACUAUUAUCUAAAUAUGCGGAAUGCCUUUUGUUUUUGCAGUUUGCCGAAGCAAACUGCAAAAAUUAGAAUGUUCAAACCCACCAGCAAGCCAUAGCGGAGGCAUGUUUAAAAGUGGCUUGUUCUCUACUGGAGAGAGGAGGUGUACCAGAACAAAAUUAAAAUUAACCAGGU